This is a long non-coding RNA of Peromyscus eremicus (cactus mouse), 401 nucleotides long. RefSeq lists it as uncharacterized. The record is from RefSeq and is a predicted model, not a curated record. NCBI's taxonomy places the organism in Eukaryota, Metazoa, Chordata, Mammalia, Rodentia, Cricetidae. The transcript is spliced from 2 exons.
UUGGCCAUUGGCUAGGCAGAAGUAUAGGCGGGACAAGGAGGAGAAUAAAGCUGGGAAGUGGAAGGCUGAGUCAGAGAGACACUGCCAGCUGCCACGAUGAGAAACAGCUUGUGAAGAUGCCGGUAAGCCACGAGCCAUGUGGCAAGGUAUAGAUUAAAGGAAAACUUGAGCUACAGUCAGGAACUGGUCCCAUCAUAGACAAUUUGUUUUUGAAGACAGGAGAAACAUCUUCACAGACUCUGGAGGGUACACACCUGUGGAGUAGACACCACGGAAAUUCUUAGACAGCUAUUUUGACAAGCCUCCUGAGAGAGCUCAUGCAACUCCACCUCCCAUCAUCUAAACAGCCUGCCUCUACCAGUGUAGGGUAAGCAUAGGUGUAAGUAAAUUGUUUUCAAAUC